Felis catus (domestic cat) is the source of this 85-nucleotide transfer RNA. It matches the Rfam family "tRNA". From Rfam's summary of the family: Transfer RNA (tRNA) molecules are approximately 80 nucleotides in length. Their secondary structure includes four short double-helical elements and three loops (D, anti-codon, and T loops). Further hydrogen bonds mediate the characteristic L-shaped molecular structure. tRNAs have two regions of fundamental functional importance: the anti-codon, which is responsible for specific mRNA codon recognition, and the 3' end, to which the tRNAs corresponding amino acid is attached (by aminoacyl-tRNA synthetases). tRNAs cope with the degeneracy of the genetic code in two manners: having more than one tRNA (with a specific anti-codon) for a particular amino acid; and 'wobble' base-pairing, i.e. permitting non-standard base-pairing at the 3rd anti-codon position. NCBI's taxonomy places the organism in Eukaryota, Metazoa, Chordata, Mammalia, Carnivora, Felidae. The record is from Rfam.
GCCUGGGUGGCUCAGUAGGUUGAGCUUCUGACUUCAGCUUAGGUCGUGGUCUCAUGGCUCAUGGGUUCGAGCCCCGUGUCGGGCU